AUGUGCACUCAGUUUCCUGCGCGCCAUCCGCGCCACCUGACGACCGCUCGCUACGUUUUAUCAGCU
This 66-nucleotide small RNA is filed under the name Xanthomonas hortorum. RNAcentral's name for it is "sX9 sRNA". It matches the Rfam family "Xanthomonas sRNA sX9". Lineage: Bacteria; Pseudomonadati; Pseudomonadota; Gammaproteobacteria; Lysobacterales; Lysobacteraceae. The record is from RNAcentral. RNAcentral also lists the same sequence under 4 other names.